CAGACUGCCUUGGACACUGAAGUCCUCUGUUUAGCUACAGAAUGAGUACAUCAUAGGCAGCUGCAUUGCAGAUUUCCCCAAUAUUGUCCCUCUAAAGUGCUUCAACAUUCUGCUGACACUGUUGCUAGGAGCAAGAGGGUCAUUAGGGUCAUUUGUACCUAUUCUGUCCUUACCCUUA
This 178-nucleotide small RNA is filed under the name Chelonoidis abingdonii (Abingdon island giant tortoise). Its description in RNAcentral is "TUC338 (ENSCABG00000003183.1)". The record is from RNAcentral. Lineage: Eukaryota; Metazoa; Chordata; Testudines; Testudinidae.